Non-coding RNA from Sus scrofa (pig), 579 nucleotides. The record is from RefSeq and is a predicted model, not a curated record. Lineage: Eukaryota; Metazoa; Chordata; Mammalia; Artiodactyla; Suidae.
GCGUGGGUCAUUCCUGAACUUGCUCUCUUUGCAAGGAGAACAACUAACAACCAACUAUUCAUGGUUAAGACAACACUGAAAAUCCUAGAACACAGGGGUGAGGCUGAAGCACCCCUUGAACUACAGAGACCAAGACAGACUGCAUUAUAAGGAAAUAUUUACAGACAUCAGUUUCCCUUAAUUUUGAACAAAUGGUACUGACAAGGCCUUCCGGAGUAAUGAGUCUGAUGUUAGCCAGCUUUCUGGAAAGCCAUCUUCUGCAAAGAUAAAAGAAGACAAAGAGAAUUCAAUGGAGAGUUUAUUUCCAACAAAACAUGACAUUAAACCAAAAAGGAAGAUGUGAAAAUGAACUUUGGAUCUAACCUAGAAGAAAGAAAGAGAAGUCCUAAAACCACACGUGAAUGCAGCCCUUGAAAAGAAGUAGCAGGAUGAGAAUUUUGAAAAGCAUCAAAUGAUGAUGAAUGGACAUUCGCUUGAAUUCGAUGCUUCAGGUGUUAUCUGUUGGAUAAUAUGAACGUUCAGAAUUAGGGUCACAUUAAAAUGCAAUAUAAUUAUAUUUUAACUUGGCACUGUAUUCAA